GACUGCUGCGGGUGCCUUUAUUUUCAGUCGACAGAAUUGGUUAUGCAUUCCUUUGUUCUUUGUUUACACUGAAGUUCAGCUAUUUGUUUAAGUGAUUUAUUCUGUUAAAGAAGAGAUUAUUUUUUUUGUCAGAAAUUUAAUUGCAAUAUAUUUAUAAUAAAUAGUUUUUCAGUUCAUUUGUGAAUGUGUAUGUUUGUAUUUGUAUUCUUGUUUUCUUUCUAGCUCAGUUGAGGAAAGUCAUUUUGAUUUGCUUUGACUUAAGAAGAACCUGAGAUUAAAGCCCAAAAACCCAUAAGGGUGGUCUUGUGAGAAGAAAGGAUUUGUACCUUUUAAAGGCUCUGUUCCAAAUCCUCACAACACGGUCCACUGGAAUGCACUUCCAUUCAGGCACAAAACCGUUGUUGACAGCCUUCCUGACCUCUCUUGCAAUACAUUUUUUACCCUUAGAUAUUGCAACAUGAAGACCUAUUCCCUUGCCUCACGGCUGUUUGAAAGAAGUGUCGUAUACGAGAAUAUUUCUGGGGCCAAGUAUGAGGGGCAUGUGGACUGGGAAAGUAUGGAUGAUGAUUUCUCCACUGGCAUCCAGCCAAUAUUGGAAAAUGCAACUCGCGAUUCCAAAGGCCACAGGAAGAAGAUGCAUUUUGCGCUUUUGCCUGAGAAGUACAAACCUUUGAUGGGGCAUGAUGAUGAGCUUGAGAAGAAGAAAAGAAAGAAGGAAAAGUACCAAAAAGUCAGAAAGAAUGUGAGGAAAGCCUUGACGUGUCUGGUGCUUGGGUUGUACAAUUUUGCUUUGGGAUAUUGUACUCCCAUGUCUGUGACUACUUUAACCCCUGAUUUUCAUCAAAGACUAAGCUGGUCAUGAAGAGUCUACAACUAUUCUGUCUGGGAAACAAGGAAAAAUGCUAUUAUAACAUAUCAAUUUACUGAAACAUUUCUAUUGAGUCCAUUCCAUUAUUAAUGUGUGCAUUGCAAAAAAUAACUGGUGACAUAAAAAAUAAAUGAAAAUAAAAAUAAAUGUGUUUGAC
Molecule: long non-coding RNA, 1025 nt
Filed under: Neogobius melanostomus (round goby)
Lineage: Eukaryota; Metazoa; Chordata; Actinopteri; Gobiiformes; Gobiidae
Description: lncRNA (ENSNMLG00000008079.1)
Source: RNAcentral